GAUGAACGCUGGCGGCGUGCCUAAUACAUGCAAGUCGAGCGAACAGACGAGGAGCUUGCUCCUCUGACGUUAGCGGCGGACGGGUGAGUAACACGUGGAUAACCUACCUCUAAGACUGGUAUAACUUCGGGAAACCGGAGCUAAUACCGGAUAAUAUAUUGAACCGCAUGGUUCAAUAGUGAAAGACGGUUUUGCUGUCACUUAUAGAUGGCUCCGCGCCGCAUUAGCUAGUUGGUAAGGUAACGGCUUACCAAGGCAACGAUGCGUAGCCGACCUGAGAGGGUGGUCGGCUACACUGGAACUGAGACACGGUCCAGACUCCUACGGGAGGCAGCAGUAGGGAAUCUUCCGCAAUGGGCGAAAGCCUGACGGAGCAACGCCGCGGGAGUGAUGAAGGUCUUCGGAUCGUAAAACUCUGUUAGUAGGGAAGAACAAAUGUGUAAGUAACUAUGCACGUCUUGACGGUACCUAAUCAGAAAGCCACGGCUAACUACGUG
This 497-nucleotide ribosomal RNA is filed under the name uncultured bacterium. RNAcentral describes it as "partial 16S ribosomal RNA". It matches the Rfam family "Bacterial small subunit ribosomal RNA", at positions 28 to 507 of the family's 1533-position model. The record is from RNAcentral.